CACUUUGUCUUUAUGGCAAAUGUGAGAUGCAGUGUAUGGAAUGUCAAAUUUCUAGUAUGAGAAAUUAACGAUUUAAGUCCUUCUUAAAUGAGGCCAUUUACCCAUAGAGGGUGCCAGGCCCGUAUAACGUUAAUGAUUACUAGAUGGCAUUUCCAAAGAGUCGUGUUGCUUGAUAGUGCAGCACUAAGUGGGUGGUAAACUCCAUCUAAAACUAAAUAUAACCAUGAGACCGAUAGUAAACAAGUACCGUGAGGGAAAGUUGAAAAGAACUCUGAAUAGAGAGUUAAAUAGUACGUGAAACUGCUUAGAGGUUAAGCCCGAUGAACCUGAAUAUCCAUUAUAGAAAAUUCAUCAUUAUGAUUUUAAUAUUUAUAAUAUUAUAAUAAUGGUGUGCAUUUUUUCUAUAACGGACAUUGUAAUCUAUUAACAUAAACCAAAUUUAUCAUAAGAUCAAUGAUGCGUAAGUUUAUUCAAAUUAUUUUGCUUGCAAUUUAACAUAGAAUAAAUGCUCUUGAUUUGAUAAAGUGUUGAUAGAUUUAUUAUAUAUAGUGCUUAAAUAUUUUAUAUUUUAUAAUAGCAUAUUAAUCAUUGAUUUUUAUGUUUAUUAUAUGCACUUAUAUGAUUAACAAUGCGAAAGAUUCAGGAUACCUUCGGGACCCGUCUUGAAACACGGACCAAGGAGUCUAACAUAUUUGCAAGUUAUUGGGUAUUUAAAACCUAAUAGCGAAAUUAACAUAACUUUAAUGGGAUUAGUUUUUAGAUUAUUUUUAAUAGUCUAUUAAUUCAAUCCCGGGGCGUUCUAUAUAGUUAUGUAUAAUAAUAUUUAUAUUAUUUAUACCUCUAACUAGAGCGUACCUUGAGCAUAUAUGCUGUGACCCGAAAGAUGGUGAACUAUACUUGAUCAGGUUGAA
Molecule: ribosomal RNA, 911 nt
Filed under: Sarcophaga (Mauritiella) sp. EB-2016
Lineage: Eukaryota; Metazoa; Arthropoda; Insecta; Diptera; Sarcophagidae
Description: eukaryotic LSU rRNA
Rfam family: Eukaryotic large subunit ribosomal RNA
Source: RNAcentral